Molecule: long non-coding RNA, 1585 nt
Organism: Pezoporus occidentalis (night parrot)
Lineage: Eukaryota; Metazoa; Chordata; Aves; Psittaciformes; Psittacidae
Exons: 3
Source: RefSeq, a predicted model, not a curated record
GAUCAUCACUUGGACAACUAGGUGGGAUGUCAAUUUCUGUUGCAGAGCUAAGACAUUAUGCUACAUGAGUUAUACCUAUGAAUUUUUUUCUAUGUUUAUCUGUUGCAUGAUGAUGUAAAAUGUUAAACACUUUUCAAAAGCACCUGAAGAACAAUCAACUAAAUUGCACCCAAUAACCCCAUGCCUCAGCUUACCUUCUGUGAAGUGCCCUUGCUCUCAUCUCUGGGGCAUACCAGAGAGACAAAUUCAUAAUGGCUGUGGAACAAUCGUUGUAAAAUACAUCAUCACAGAAACUUCCAGCAGCUCUAGGUUCCUUAUAAAGUGUCUUAGAAGCUCAUGUCCAUAGUGCACUCUAAAAUGUGAUGGUUCAUCCUAGGGUAUUGGCCUAUGAAAGCCUUCCUGGCUCUCCACACUGCUGCCAACUCCAUCUCCAUCACUGCUCUUUUUCUCUCUGAGAAUGGAUAAGCCAUGCAAGGAGUCAUUAAGAUAAAACAAAUCUGGGGCCUGUUAAGCUCAGUUAAAUGGGGUAACCACUUUGAAGUGUAAGGAAAGGAGUUACAAGUUCAGUUCCUGCCUACUGUCAUUGUUUUACUUCAGCCGAGACUCUAAUCCUAGCUUCUACAGAAACUGAGUGUGAUGGAUUGAAUCCUGGGGUUUAUUUUCAUUUUUGUUUGGUUUUGGUUGUUUGGUGUUUCUUUUUUAAAGGGUGUUAAUGCUUCCCAUUUAGUCUUAAACUAGCGUAUCCUGAGAAUAUUACACACAGAAAUUUCCCACACAUGCAGUUAAAUGCCCAGGUACAUCUUUGAAUCAAAGUUAAUAGAUAGAAGCAAGGGAAAGUGAGGUGAAAAGGACUGAAGUGAACUGAUUUAAUCAAGAAGGGAUGAGAAGUUGCUGAGUGGUACAAGACCACAUUAUCGGCUCCAUUUGCUCUCCUGCACUAAAAUCCCACCGAUCUAGAAGAGCUGUUAAUCAGAUGCACAAGCAAGAGGGCACAUGCCAUCCAUGAUGUCUCCAAGAAACCUUACAAGUAUUAGAAAUGUGCUUGAUUGUGAUUGCUACUUAACCAUUAUUUCCUUCAGCUCCUCACAGCUUUAGUAUGUAUCUGUUUCUUCAUCUAAGGUUAGUAGCCAAGUGGCCCCUGAGUGUAGCCCAUGCACACGGUGCGUAGCAGGGGGAGACCUUAGCUUUGAAGACCUUCCAUGGUUGAGGUAAAAAGGAAUAGUUACAGUGUGUGCUCAAGCUGUUUAAUAAGUAAUUUUCCACUUUUUUUUUUCAUAGGAACCAUUUGGUAUUCUUGUCCUAUUGAUACAUGCUUUGGUAAAAUUCAAGACUCUCAGCAGGUUGAUAGCAGUGUUUCUCAGCAGCAGCCAGUGAGGAGCUGAUGGGGAUCACAGUCUAUACAUGCUCUGUAAGCUGAUCACGGACAAGAGCUAGGCAUGCAUUCCCAUGCACAAAAGCACGGGGUCUGGACAUACAUAAGCAGAAGGAAGGAUUUGUCUUCCCUUUCCUUAGCAGCCUCUUGUAUCGCCUCCUUCAGGGCAGGCUUUGGACUGAAAUUGCAGUACCAGAACUCAAGUUUUAUCCC